RNAcentral lists this small RNA (5375 nucleotides) under Cryptococcus neoformans H99. Its description in RNAcentral is "Cryptococcus neoformans var. grubii H99 hypothetical RNA". Lineage: Eukaryota; Fungi; Basidiomycota; Tremellomycetes; Tremellales; Cryptococcaceae. The record is from RNAcentral.
UCCAAACUGCGCGAUGGGCUGUUAAAAGGGAUCUUGCGGUUCUGUUGCUAUUAAUGAGGGUAGUCAGUUCUUCGGGAUCCCUCCGGAUUCUGCCCCAACGCAUUUAAUACUCGACCUCUAUCACAUCUAUCCCCAAACUCACCGGCAACAGGAACUUCAUCGCCUGACGCCGCACUAUUCUCGUUUAUCUCUCCGAAUGAGGUGCCCGCCGUGUCCUCGAAGGAUUUGAGAAGGAACCCUAUAAGGGGAAAGUCACCGCCCUUCGGGGGAGUACGCUGGUGCAAAUCCUCCCUUUGGCUCCGACGUCAGUGAUGAGAAGGAACUCAACGAAAAGCAGCUGAACAAAUGGGACGAAUGGCAACGCCUGUGGGCAACGACCUUCAAAAAGGCGAUAUUUCCUGGCGCCUCAACACCCGCAUUCUACGUGAGAACGCCACUUCCCAAGAGAUACAAGCACACUUGACGCCUUCUCUACUCUACUCUCCGAAGGCAAGUCUGUUGGCCUCGACGUGGCCGACUGGGACCGUCGGGAGAAGUUCCUCCUCUCCCUGCCCAGAGAUCUCCAAUCCAACCUUCGAACCGGUCUUCGUGGUCGCUCAACCCAGACGUGGGCUGAGCUCUGCAGUCUCUUCAACGAAGAAAUCGACAUUCGGUCUCGCCAAGACCUCCGCAAUGUGCAAAUCAAUGCUGCAGCAAAGAUGGAAAAGAGGGGGGGGAGGACGACGACAGCAGGAUAAUGGAGAAAGGGGGCAAAGGUGGAAAGAAGCAUAAGAAAAAGAGAGGUGGAGAAGUGAAGACGUGUGGCUGGUGUGGGAUUUAAGGGUCACAAAGAGAAGGAGUGCCGCAAGAAGGCAGCUGGCGAUCCCCUCAGGCAGAGAUUCGACAGGCAGCGCAGCACAUCAGACAGCAGAAAUCUAGUCAGGGUCAGAGCGGCUCUGCCAGCUUCAUCGACGCCACAUCCUGGGGCUCUGCUCCUACUCUAUUCGACAACGACACCACCAACGCCUCGCCCUGCUUCAUACUUGGUACAUGGCAUCACACCAUGUCGCCAACAUUCGCUCGGCGCUUGUCAAUCUCCGUCCUGCCGAGGUCAUCAACUUCGGUCUUGUUGGCAUUAUGCACCAAUUCUCGUCUUACGAGGAGGGUGACUUACUCAUUCCUGUGGAAGACGGUAGUAUUCUCAUCAAGGGUAUUCGCUAUAAUCCCUGAUCCUAAAGCCUCACCUCUCGGCCAUGACUAUUGGGAUUAUAUCAUGGUCUAUGCUGCGAUGGUGCUCAACAAAACCACUGUUAAGCGUAUCCAGGGUAAGACAACAUGGAGGUUAUUACGGGCCAUCAGCCGGACCCCGACAAGAUCUAAGAGUUCGGUGACUUAGUCUUCGCACACAUACCUCCGGCCUCCGCUCUGUCAAAGCCGAGUUGACUACCCCGAAGGCUAGACUCGCUCGUAUCCUCGGUCAAGAUGAGAAUAUCACCGGUUAUAUAGUGUUGUUUGAGCACGACGGUUCGGUUCACCUCCUUGCCGAUGUCACUCCGGCAUCAGGUCUUGGCACAACUCUUGAGCCACUCAACUCGCUGUACGAAGUCCACCGUUCCGUCCGUCGCCAACCGUACUACAUCACCUAUUGCGACGAUAUUACUCAAGAAGGAGAAAGUCAAAGACAUUGAGAAGAAGGAUAUUGAGACGGAUAAGGAUCAGAAUAUGGGUAACUGAGCUCUAGGUGAUGGGGAAGGGAACAAGACCGCCCGGAAGUUUCUUCAACAGACGCAGUGGCAGUACAGUCCAACAGUAUCGCGUUCGGGGUGGUCCAACCCACCCACGCGGUACCCACACCCGUGUACCAUCUCUACUCGUAGCAGCACUCGUUUGCAGAAGGCUGACUAUCAUCAUGGCCCAAAUGCACGCGUCGCCUUCCUCGCAUCCGAAACUGCACUCGUACUUGCUGUCACUUCUGUGAACGGGCACUCUGCUUCUCUUACUGAGGCACUCUCCGGACCAGAUGGAGCACAAUGGCACGCAGCAAAGAAAACUGAGGUUCAUACUCUCCGGGCUAAGCAUACUUGGGAGGAAGUGACCGUUGUACUGCCUGAACGCAAGCUCAUCGGUUGCAAGUGGGUCUGCAAGCGCAAGGUCAAUGCGCAAGGUGAGGUCGUGCUCCACAAAAUGCGCCUCGUUGCCCAGGGAUUCUCUCAGCAGCCCGGACUGGAUUAUGAAGCGACUUUUGCCCCGGUUGGCUGCAUCGCCCCCCUGCGCCUACUCCUUAACAUUGCCGCCGCAUACGACCUAGAGCUCGUUCAAAGCAGACGUACAGGGCGCCUACCUCAACGGUAACCUCGACCACGAAAUUUACAUGCGACUUCCCAUUCAUUACAUCCCUCUCAAUCCCAACGCAAUCGCGCUUAAACUCAACAAAACACUCUACGGUCUCAAACAAAGUGGUAGAGAAUGGCGGAAGGUACUAGGGGGACGCUCGAGGCUCUAGGUUUCCAACGUUGCGAGAGCGAGUGGGGACUCCAUGUCGUCCCGGGGAACAACGCUCCCAAGGCGGUUAUGCUUGUCUACGUCGACGACUGGGUCAUUCCAGCACGUACCACUUCCACUAUCCAUGACAUUCUUAACCGAAUCUCUAGCAAAUGGACCCUCAGCUCUCUUGGUCCCACGACAUACGUCCUCGGCAUGCGGGUCACGCACGAUCGCCCUAACAAGACCAAUGUUCUGUCACAGGCUGCAUACAUCGAUAUUUUGCUCAAGCGUUUCCCGGGCUUCAGUGUCAUACCCUCUCAUAAGCUAGACGAAGACGACUUCGAAACUCGUGCGGUCCUCACGCCGUACUAAGAGCUCGUCGGUUCUUUACUCUGGCUUGCUGAUUGUACUCGUCCCGACAUCGUAUUUGCCGCCUCCUUCCUUGCUCGCUAUACUGCCUCGCCCACCGAAGGACACUGGCAACUCGCCCUCCGGGUCCUAUCCUACCUCUCCCACACCGACGCCUGGGAAUCACGCUAGGGGAGUCAAACCUACAAAAACCCUCGCAUGCCAUUCCGACGCUGAUUGGGCCGGCUGCGAGCAAACAACAAGGUCGACUUCCGGGUAUAUCACCUACUUCUGCGGUUCCCCCAUAAGUUGGUGCUCCAAACGCCAGCGAACCACGGCAUCUUCCACAAUGGAAGGCGAAUAUAUAGCCGCAUCAGAAGCCACUCGUCGGGCAGCCGGCGAAGACAAAUGAUAUCUUGUGUCUUCGAUCUCUAUGAACUUCAUCCCUAAUCAUUUCCGCAACAACUUCAUCCCUUCUCCUAUUUGCUACUUGAUCACCAAUGCCAGCGGCACGUUCAUCGAUAUUCAUCACCCCUUCCACCUCAGAUGUAGUCAGCGAGUCCUUCCAAGUCUCAACCAAAAGGUUAUGAAGAACCAUGCAGGCUCGAAUGCUAGGUACAAGCGGGCCUCGUCAGUUACUGUCCGGCAAGUAAGACGACAGUCUUGUAAAAUUUGCCAUCGGUUUUUCAGGAUACCGAAUGCCUGUUCAAUCAUCACUCGAGCUUUGGCACACUUGUGGUUAAAGUAGGCCUGGCAUGGGAUGAGUCAGUGGAAAUUCGGAUGGGAAAAGUCCCACCUUGGGUCCGACUGUGACCUGCGUCUUUCUCUCUCGCUUGAAUAGAGGUAUAACUGUGUCUGACGAUUUCAUACCAGCAUCACCAAACACAUAUUCCUUUGGAGAGAAGAACCGAUGGGGAUUUCUGUGCAGAUCUGAGAGAUCUUGGGCCAUCUGGUCGUUGGUAGCUGCAGAGAAGCCGAAACUGACGUAUCUAAAUCUCUUUAGAUGAUCGACCACAGCGAUCAUUUUAUAACCAUAUUUUUCCUUGUAGCUGUGCAUCGUAUGAGCUUUUCGCGUCCAAUUGAUGGUGCUUGGUGCAAGACAAUAUCGGUUCCGUCGAUGAAGCCGAUACACGACGGUAUUCCAUAUUGCGCGUACAAUUCACGGGCAAGGACAGAGCGUUCUUCCCCAGAGGGCCAAAAAACGUACUGCUUCAAAGAGGAUACGAUGGUUAUUAAUGAUCGAUCCGUAUAAUGAGAUACACUGCCAUCUGUCAUCCGAGUAUGCCUAUCAAUCCUGAAUGUGAACUCCAAGAACAACGAUUGAAGGUUUCCUUCAACUUGCGGGACAGAUUAAAUGAUUCUCCACGGUGCUCAUUCUCUUGCCUCCUGUCAUUCUGUAAAUGUAUGUUGCCAGCUGCACCUCCGGCGGUGCCUGAGGCUUCCUCCCCUGCGAUUUGAAAACUUCGUGACCUCCAAACAAGGCUACAAAGGCUCGUGAACUCUGCAUGGUCCAGAUGUAGGGUCUUGAUCAUCUUGUCAUCGGUAGAUGGUGAAGGGAGAACCUCAGAAAAAGAUAAUCGUGGUUCUCAUAAUGAGAACUAUGAGGAAGCCGCUCAUACUAACGGCUGUUUUCGUAUUUUUGGCGUAAGGAAAGAAGAAGUCGGAUUUGUGUUUGAACGAAAGAGCUGGAUUCGUAAGGUACCAAACUAGAGAUACGAUCGUCGAUUUCACGCAAAGCCUCCUAUUUCCUGCUGAGAUGGGGCAUUGAUGGUAUGGUGCAACGAUAUCGCUUGGCCUUGUAUUACUCUUUGAAGCGACUUUUGAUUACAAAGAAGAGACUCAUGCUCCAAAUUCCAGUGCGUCGUUCGAAGCCCCACUGCUGAGAACGCGGACAUGGGCGGAAUUAAACCAGUCCAAAUAACUGUACGUGACUUCAUUCAAGGGUCAGUCAAUUGUUCCAGGUUUCGUUGAGAUUUUGUCCCGUGGCGCGGUUUGAGAAUUGAUUACCCUCACAGUAAUCGGCACGCCUGAUCAGGACGGGCGGCCAGGAGGAUUCUUUGCGUUUUCACUGCCACUGAUGGUAUGUAAGGGAGGUUUGUGAAAGGAUGAUUGGGGUAGAACGGGUAGCAGAUCGGUGUGGGAUAAGGUCCGCAGAGCCUUUGAGAAAACCAGUUCGCUGAUGGGAGCAUCCCAGCCAGGAUCCGCAAGCACAUGCUGGGAGGUAAUCUGUCCAGAAUAAAGGUUAUCCAUCCUUGCAGUGGAUAUCGGGAUAAUCUCCAUCUUAAGCAUCUCUACAGCCCUGGUGAUCAAUGAGACCUGAUAGUAGGUUGAACGGCCUAUAGUAUUGGUAUAAUCGAUAAAUGUAGCUUCCUUGUCUUUGUUCAGGUCACCAGCGGAUGGCAAGGGAUAGUAAGAGGAGGGUUAUGAAGGUAGUUGGCUUUGCCAUUUCGUUAUAUCUGCAGAAUGAAAGUUAACAUUUAGGCCACAAGUAGAUGUAAUAUACUCACACUGUUUCUGAUCCUGCUUCUCGACGACCUUGAGCAAAGGAUCCAAACUCCUCUGUU